Solanum lycopersicum (tomato) is the source of this 213-nucleotide non-coding RNA. The record is from RefSeq and is marked provisional. NCBI's taxonomy places the organism in Eukaryota, Viridiplantae, Streptophyta, Magnoliopsida, Solanales, Solanaceae.
AAGCAUUUUCAGCAAAAUGAAAUGCUAUAGUUGGAAAGUUCUAAACAUUUCGGAUGAUAGUUCCAAAGUAACAAAUCUCGUUUGAAUGUCUCUUGAUCAACUUUUAUAUAUAUAUAUAUAUAUAUAUCCAAACGAGGUUUGUUACUUUGGAAUAUCUUUCGAAAUCUGAAAAACUUUUCAACUAUAGCAUUAUUUUUUGCGGAAAAUUUGUUU